RNAcentral lists this long non-coding RNA (229 nucleotides) under Elaeis guineensis (African oil palm). RNAcentral describes it as "long non-coding RNA (EGUI_LNC025476)". Lineage: Eukaryota; Viridiplantae; Streptophyta; Magnoliopsida; Arecales; Arecaceae. The record is from RNAcentral.
CCCUUCAUACAUCUUCAAAUUGAAGAGUCUCUUGGAUACUUCGAAGCAUGCUGUAUGGCUCUGCUCACCAUACAACUCUUGUAGAUGAGUGAUCAUAGUCCUGACAGUGGGUAUAUGCUCAUGCUGACUCUGCAACUCAUUUGAUAUAGAUGCCAGCAUAUAGCACUUGAUCUGACUGUCUUCAUCCGUCCACUUUGUAUAAGCAGCUCUUUGCUCACUAGUAGGACGG